AGGCCAAACUAAUAGAUGCUCGGCGUAAAGCGUGUUCUAGAGAUUAAGUAAUAAAUAAAGUCAAGCCUUAGCUAAGCUGUAAAAAGUCUCAGAUAUUGUAAGAUACGUAACGAAAGUGAUUUUAAAGAAUCUAACUACACGAUAGCUAAGAUCCAAACUGGGAUUAGAUACCCCACUAUGCUUAGCCCUAAACAUAAAAAAUUAUAAACAAAAUUAUUCGCCAGAGUACUACUAGCAAUAGCUUAAAACUCAAAGGACUUGGCGGUGCCUUAUAUCCUUCUAGAGGAGCCUGUUCUAUAAUUGAUAAACCCCGAUCUACCUCACCAAUCUUUGCUAAAU
Molecule: ribosomal RNA, 339 nt
Filed under: Myotis nigricans
Lineage: Eukaryota; Metazoa; Chordata; Mammalia; Chiroptera; Vespertilionidae
Description: partial 12S ribosomal RNA
Rfam family: Bacterial small subunit ribosomal RNA
Source: RNAcentral